Molecule: transfer RNA, 68 nt
Filed under: Aposthonia borneensis
Lineage: Eukaryota; Metazoa; Arthropoda; Insecta; Embioptera; Oligotomidae
Description: tRNA-Lys
Source: RNAcentral
UACUAGAUGGCUGAAAACAAGCUUGGAUCUCUUAAAUCCUACUAUAGUAUAACUUAUACUUCUAGUAA